AUCCAGCUGACCACGAGUCCCAAAUAGGACGAAAUGCGCAUCCUGGAU
RNAcentral lists this non-coding RNA (48 nucleotides) under Trichobilharzia regenti. Lineage: Eukaryota; Metazoa; Platyhelminthes; Trematoda; Strigeidida; Schistosomatidae. The record is from RNAcentral.